CGGGGCGUAGCGCAGCCCGGUUAGCGCACCUGGUUUGGGACCAGGGGGUCGCAGGUUCGAAUCCUGCCGCCCGGA
This 75-nucleotide transfer RNA is filed under the name Fulvivirga imtechensis AK7. It matches the Rfam family "tRNA". Rfam says of the family: Transfer RNA (tRNA) molecules are approximately 80 nucleotides in length. Their secondary structure includes four short double-helical elements and three loops (D, anti-codon, and T loops). The record is from Rfam by way of RNAcentral. Lineage: Bacteria; Pseudomonadati; Bacteroidota; Cytophagia; Cytophagales; Fulvivirgaceae.